This 253-nucleotide ribosomal RNA is filed under the name uncultured bacterium. RNAcentral's name for it is "partial 16S ribosomal RNA". It matches the Rfam family "Bacterial small subunit ribosomal RNA", at positions 524 to 776 of the family's 1533-position model. The record is from RNAcentral.
UACGGAGGGUGCAAGCGUUAAUCGGAAUUACUGGGCGUAAAGGGCGCGUAGGUGGCCUGGUAAGUCGGGUGUGAAAGCCCCGGGCUCAACCCGGGAACUGCACUCGAUACUGCUGGGCUAGAGUACAGUAGAGGGGAGCGGAAUUCCCGGUGUAGCGGUGAAAUGCGUAGAUAUCGGGAGGAACAUCAGUGGCGAAGGCGGCUCUCUGGACUGAUACUGACACUGAGGCGCGAAAGCGUGGGGAGCAAACAGG